RNAcentral lists this ribosomal RNA (474 nucleotides) under uncultured bacterium. RNAcentral's name for it is "SSU rRNA". It matches the Rfam family "Bacterial small subunit ribosomal RNA", at positions 26 to 518 of the family's 1533-position model. The record is from RNAcentral.
AGGAUGAACGCUGGCGGCGUGCCUAACACAUGCAAGUCGAACGUCCUGUCUCGCAAGAGGCAGGGAGUGGCGGACGGGUGAGUACCACGUGGGUUAUCUACCGUGAGGUGAGGAAUACCGGCGAGAAAUCGCCGACAAGACCGCAUAGCCUCGGUGCAAGCCGAGCAAAGCUCUUUCGAGAGAGGGAGCGCCACACGAGGAGCCUGCGCCCGAUUAGCUAGCUGGUGGAGUAACGGUUCACCAGGGCGACGAUCGGUAGCUGGUCUGAGAGGACGAUCAGCCACACUGGGAUUGAGAACGGCCCAGACUCCUACGGGGGGCAGCAGUGAGGAAUUUUCGUCAAUGGGGCAACCCUGAACGAGCAACGCCGCGUGCAGGAAGAAGGUUUUCGGAUCGUAAACUGCUUUUCGUCGGGGAAGAGGAACGGACGGUACCCGAGGAAUCAGCCCCGGCUAACUACGCGCCAGCAGCCGC